RNAcentral lists this ribosomal RNA (469 nucleotides) under uncultured bacterium. RNAcentral's name for it is "bacterial SSU rRNA". It matches the Rfam family "Bacterial small subunit ribosomal RNA", at positions 28 to 507 of the family's 1533-position model. The record is from RNAcentral.
GAUGAACGCUGGCGGCGUGCCUAACACAUGCAAGUCGAACGGAAUUUACAUGAAGCCUAGCGAUUGUAAAUUUAGUGGCGGACGGGUGAGUAACGCGUGGGUAACCUGCCUUGUACUGGGGGACAACAGUUGGAAACGACUGCUAAUACCGCAUAAGCGCACAGCUUCGCAUGAAGCAGUGUGAAAAACUCCGGUGGUACAAGAUGGACCCGCGUCUGAUUAGCUGGUUGGUGAGGUAACGGCCCACCAAGGCGACGAUCAGUAGCCGGCCUGAGAGGGUGGACGGCCACAUUGGGACUGAGACACGGCCCAGACUCCUACGGGAGGCAGCAGUGGGGAAUAUUGCACAAUGGGGGAAACCCUGAUGCAGCGACGCCGCGUGAGUGAAGAAGUAUUUCGGUAUGUAAAGCUCUAUCGGCAGGGAAGAAAAAUGACGGUACCUGACUAAGAAGCCCCGGCUAACUACGUG